Molecule: non-coding RNA, 1276 nt
Organism: Gambusia affinis (western mosquitofish)
Lineage: Eukaryota; Metazoa; Chordata; Actinopteri; Cyprinodontiformes; Poeciliidae
Source: the annotation of a RefSeq genome assembly
CUGUGAGUUUUAUAAAAAGAGUCAAAUGAUCCUAGGAUGUCCAAGACAGAUUUAAUUUGAAUCCAAGAAGUGAAAAUCCUUCAUGUUGUUUCUGUUUGAUUUUCUUCUAUUGCAAUAAGAUGAUGAGAGUUUUAAAUCCAGUAUCUAUUAGUGUUGGUUCAGUGUCUCUGUUUGUCUGGUGCUGAGAGCAGAGAAAUGAUUUCCAUAGAGUGGAGGCUUUGCAUGGUCAGCUGAUCCUCCAGUGAACUGAGAAGGUUUAUAGUCCUGUGAGUUCAACACUGCAGGACUCAGAUCUGUCAGUCAAGCCAGCAGAAGCAACAAGCACCAUGACCCUCAUCACCAUCCUCAUCUGGACGCUGAGCUGCUGCUGUUUUACAGGAUGCAGAGCUCAGAUCACUGUGACUCAACCUGCAGUGAAGACGAUUACACCAGGAUCCACUGUCACUAUCAGCUGUACAACAAAUCAGGAUGUUUACAAUGGAAUUUACUUGUCCUGGUAUCAGCAGAAACCAGGACAGCCUCCAAAGCUCCUGAUAUAUGGGGCUAAUUAUCUUGAGUCAGGAACUCCAGCUCGGUUUAGUGGCAGUGGAGGCGGCUCUGACUUCACUUUGACCAUCAGUGACGUUCAGGCUGAAGAUGCUGCAGUUUAUUACUGUCAGAGUGCACAUAGAGCAAAUAGUGGCUACGUGUGGACUUUUGGUGGAGGAACCAAACUCAUCGUUGACUCCGGCCCCACGGUCAGACCCUCAGUCUCUCUGCUGCCCCCCUCCUCUGAGCAGCUCUCUGGGGGCUCGGCCACGCUGCUCUGCCUGCUGAGCGGCUACUCUCCUCAGGGAGCCCAGGUGAGCUGGGAGGUGGACGGCACGGCGGUGACAGAGGGGGUCCUGAGCAGCUCCGAGGAGGAGAAGAGCGGACGCUACGGCAGCAGCAGCACCUUGAGCCUGAGCCAGGAGAAGUGGAUGAGAGGAGAGCUGUACUCCUGCAGGGUGGAGCAUCAGGGCCAGAGCCAGGUCCAGAGCAUCACAAGGAGCCAGUGUGAGGGCCAGAGAGGCUGACUGAGGCCCAGAGCAGGAGCUGUUAGUGGGAGAGCAGCAGGACAAACACCUGCUGCUCUCAUCAAUAGGAGUCUGGAUGAAGACAAACUAAAGCUUGUGUGACGCUGAACUAAACUGCUGACAAACGUUCAACAACUUAGACUAAUGUGUGAAGCUCAGCAGCUGGAUGUGAGUGGGAUUCAUUUGCUGUGUGUUUUAAUAAAGCUUGCUCUGAUACAUUA